GCCUGGUGUGGUGGCAGCACACCUGUGAUCCCAGUGACUCAGGAGGCUGAGGCAGGAGGAUUCCAAACUGGAGGCCAGCCUCCAAAACUUAAUGAGGCCCUAAGCAACUUAGCAAGACCCUGUCUCUA
This 128-nucleotide small RNA is filed under the name Marmota monax (woodchuck). Lineage: Eukaryota; Metazoa; Chordata; Mammalia; Rodentia; Sciuridae. The record is from RNAcentral.